UUGACAACCCUGGAGACUGAAAUCUAUUAUUUAUCUACAGAAUAGAAACAGCAUGGGCAGUGGUAGUGCAAGCUUCCCACACGUUGCCUCAGCGUGCCUCUCCCCUAACCUAGAGGAAUCAUCUUUAGGGGUUGCUCGUGAAAUCCUUUCCCUCUCUUCUGAGAUUGUCAACUACAGUCCCUG
Chelonoidis abingdonii (Abingdon island giant tortoise) is the source of this 183-nucleotide unclassified non-coding RNA. The record is from Ensembl. Lineage: Eukaryota; Metazoa; Chordata; Testudines; Testudinidae.